GCCCGGGUGGCGGAACUGGCAGACGCGUACGUUUGAGGGGCGUAUGGUUCACACCGUGUGGGUUCGAUUCCCACCCCGGGCA
Molecule: transfer RNA, 82 nt
Filed under: Elusimicrobia bacterium HGW-Elusimicrobia-1
Lineage: Bacteria; Pseudomonadati; Elusimicrobiota
Description: tRNA-Leu
Rfam family: tRNA
About the family: Transfer RNA (tRNA) molecules are approximately 80 nucleotides in length. Their secondary structure includes four short double-helical elements and three loops (D, anti-codon, and T loops).
Source: RNAcentral